UCCGUAGGUGAACCUGCGGAGGGAUCAUUACACAACAAAAUAUGAAGGCCUGGCUUCGCGGCCGGCUGAAAUAUUUUUUUCACCCAUGUCUUUUGCGCACUUGUUGUUUCCUGGGCGGGUUCGCCCGCCACCAGGACCAAACCAUAAACCUUUUUUUUAUGCAGUUGCAAUCAGCGUCAGUAAAAACAAUGUAAUUAUUACAACUUUCAACAACGGAUCUCUUGGUUCUGGCAUCGAUGAAGAACGCAGCGAAAUGCGAUACGUAGUGUGAAUUGCAGAAUUCAGUGAAUCAUCGAAUCUUUGAACGCACAUUGCGCCCUUUGGUAUUCCAAAGGGCAUGCCUGUUCGAGCGUCAUUUGUACCUUCAAGCUUUGCUUGGUGUUGGGCGUUUUUUGUCUCCCUCUUUCUGGGAGACUCGCCUUAAAACGAUUGGCAGCCGGCCUACUGGUUUCGGAGCGCAGCACAUAUUUUGCGCUUUGUAUCAGGAGAAAAGGACGGUAACCCAUCAAGACUCUACAUUUUUAACUUUUGACCUCGGAUCGGGUAGGGAUACCCGCUGAACUUAAGCAUAUCAAUAAGCGGAGGA
RNAcentral lists this ribosomal RNA (586 nucleotides) under Bipolaris sorokiniana. RNAcentral describes it as "eukaryotic LSU rRNA". The stretch from base 202 to 355 matches the Rfam family "5.8S ribosomal RNA". The record is from RNAcentral. Lineage: Eukaryota; Fungi; Ascomycota; Dothideomycetes; Pleosporales; Pleosporaceae.